GCCUGUUCCAGGGAGAUCCCCGGCAAGGGGCUGAGAAACCGCUGGCACGCUCUUCGAGCAUGCGGCGCGGAAAUCCUUCGAACCUGAUCCGGCUCAUACCGGCGUAGGGAUUGGACCGCGGGCUCCGC
This 128-nucleotide non-coding RNA is filed under the name Methylobacterium dankookense. RNAcentral's name for it is "TPP". It matches the Rfam family "TPP riboswitch aptamer (THI element)". Rfam says of the family: Vitamin B(1) in its active form thiamin pyrophosphate (TPP) is an essential coenzyme that is synthesised by coupling of pyrimidine and thiazole moieties in bacteria. The record is from RNAcentral. RNAcentral also lists the same sequence under 1 other name. Lineage: Bacteria; Pseudomonadati; Pseudomonadota; Alphaproteobacteria; Hyphomicrobiales; Methylobacteriaceae.